This 362-nucleotide ribosomal RNA is filed under the name Bacillus sp. (in: firmicutes). Its description in RNAcentral is "bacterial SSU rRNA". It matches the Rfam family "Bacterial small subunit ribosomal RNA", at positions 666 to 1026 of the family's 1533-position model. The record is from RNAcentral. Lineage: Bacteria; Bacillati; Bacillota; Bacilli; Caryophanales; Bacillaceae.
AUUCCACGUGGAGCGGUGAAAUGCGUAAAAAUGUGGAGGAACACCAGAGGCGAAGGGGGCUUUUUGGUCUGUAACUGACGCUGAGGCGCGAAAGCGUGGGGAGCAAACAGGAUUAGAUACCCUGGUAGUCCACGCCGUAAACGAUGAGUGCUAAGUGUUAGAGGAUUUCCGCCCUUUACUGCUGCAGCUAACGCAUUAAGCACUCCGCCUGGGGAGUACGGUCGCAAGACUGAAACUCAAAGGAAUUGACGGGGGCCCGCACACGCGGUGGAGCAUGUGGUUUAAUUCGAAGCAACGCGAAGAACCUUACCAGGUCUUGACAUCCUCUGACAACUCUAGCAAUAAUGUGUUUCCUUUUGGGG